UGGCGAACGGGUGAGUAAUACAUCGGAACGUGUCCUGUAGUGGGGGAUAGCCCGGCGAAAGCCGGAUUAAUACCGCAUACGACCUAAGGGAGAAAGCGGGGGAUCUUCGGACCUCGCGCUAUAGGGGCGGCCGAUGGCAGAUUAGCUAGUUGGUGGGGUAAAGGCCUACCAAGGCGACGAUCUGUAGCUGGUCUGAGAGGACGACCAGCCACACUGGGACUGAGACACGGCCCAGACUCCUACGGAGGCAGCAGUGGGGAAUUUUGGACAAUGGGGGCAACCCUGAUCCAGCAAUGCCGCGUGUGUGAAGAAGGCCUUCGGGUUGUAAAGCACUUUAGUCCGGAAAGAAAACCUCGUGGCUAAUAUCCGUGAGGGAUGACGGUACCGGAAGAAUAAGCACCGGCUAACUACGUGCCAGCAGCCGCGGUAAUACGUAGGGUGCGAGCGUUAAUCGGAAUUACUGGGCGUAAAGCGUGCGCAGGCGGUCUGUUAAGACCGAUGUGAAAUCCCCGGGCUUAACCUGGGAACUGCAUUGGUGACUGGCAGGCUUUGAGUGUGGCAGAGGGAGGUAGAAUUCCACGUGUAGCAGUGAAAUGCGUAGAGAUGUGGAGGAAUACCGAUGGCGAAGGCAGCCUCCUGGGCCAACACUGACGCUCAUGCACGAAAGCGUGGGGAGCAAACAGGAUUAGAUACCCUGGUAGUCCACGCCCUAAACGAUGUCAACUAGUUGUUGGGGAUUCAUUUCCUUAGUAACGUAGCUAACGCGUGAAGUUGACCGCCUGGGGAGUACGGUCGCAAGAUUAAAACUCAAAGGAAUUGACGGGGACCCGCACAAGCGGUGGAUGAUGUGGAUUAAUUCGAUGCAACGCGAAAAACCUUACCUACCCUUGACAUGGUCGGAACCCUGCUGAAAGGUGGGGGUGCUCGAAAGAGAACCGGCGCACAGGUGCUGCAUGGCUGUCGUCAGCUCGUGUCGUGAGAUGUUGGGUUAAGUCCCGCAACGAGCGCAACCCUUGUCCUUAGUUGCUACGCAAGAGCACUCUAAGGAGACUGCCGGUGACAAACCGGACGAAGGUGGGGAUGACGUCAAGUCCUCAUGGCCCUUAUGGGUAGGGCUUCACACGUCAUACAAUGGUCGGAACAGAGGGUAGCCAAGCCGCG
This 1161-nucleotide ribosomal RNA is filed under the name uncultured endophytic bacterium. RNAcentral describes it as "bacterial SSU rRNA". It matches the Rfam family "Bacterial small subunit ribosomal RNA", at positions 96 to 1259 of the family's 1533-position model. The record is from RNAcentral.